RNAcentral lists this ribosomal RNA (112 nucleotides) under Pteropus alecto (black flying fox). The record is from RNAcentral. Lineage: Eukaryota; Metazoa; Chordata; Mammalia; Chiroptera; Pteropodidae.
UUAUGCAGUGUUUCUGCGCCUCUUUAAAUGUCUGAUCUCAGAAGCUAAGCAGGGUCGGGCCUGGUUAGUAUUUGGAUGGGAGACCACCUAGGAAGACAAGGUGCUGUAGAUG